UACGUAGGCAGCAAGCGUUGUUCGGAGUUACUGGGCGUAAAGAGUGCGUAGGUGGUGCCCUAAGUCUGUUGUGAAAUCUCCCGGCUUAACUGGGAGGGUGCGGUGGAAACUGGGGUGCUUGAGUGUGGGAGAGGUAAGCGGAAUUCCUGGUGUAGCGGUGAAAUGCGUAGAGAUCGGAAGGAACGCCGGUGGCGAAAGCGGCGUGCUGGACACCUACUGACGCUGAGGCGCGAAAGCCAGGGGAGCGAACGGG
Molecule: ribosomal RNA, 253 nt
Filed under: uncultured bacterium
Lineage: Bacteria
Description: partial 16S ribosomal RNA
Rfam family: Bacterial small subunit ribosomal RNA
Source: RNAcentral